This 3604-nucleotide long non-coding RNA is filed under the name Podarcis lilfordi (Lilford's wall lizard). The record is from RNAcentral. Lineage: Eukaryota; Metazoa; Chordata; Lepidosauria; Squamata; Lacertidae.
AGUUCUCAAGAAACUCCCUGGACCUGUCAUUGCAGCUGUCUAUUCCCAGAAAAGGAAAGAACGCGUGAAAAUAGAAAGGUGAGCAGGAGGACAGGGAGCCAUUUCUGCUGGAGGCUGCAUUUUCUCCUGCCUUGUUUGAACAGAAAAGGAGGGUCCUGCCAUCUCUUCUCCCCCCACCCCACUUCAGAAUUUAGCAGCUGAAGCAUAAUUGAAUGGCUAUCAAUAUUCUUGUUAUUUCCAGGUGCAUGCUAUAGUGACCUCUCAUUACAAACCCUUCUGGUCUUCUGGUCCUUAGUUAUCUAUUGAUACCCAACUCGGGGGGAAAACCAGAAUGGAUCAACCCAGGUGCAGUGGUUGCUUCUUCUUGUCAUAAAUACCGUUGGGCAAAUUUACACAUGCUAUUCAAUCCAGGUAGAUUAAAAAAAAUGUCUGCCUGGACUGACAACCAAACCAGCCCUGCUGUCAGCACCCCUGGACAACUAUUGGACCCUCGGAGUCUUGACAGGGCUCACCAGUGCUGAUUCCUAUCCUGACACACACCUCCCAAGUCUGGGAGUAGCCAUCUUAGUUUCCCACAAUGCCACAGACCCGCUAAUACUAUGCCAGCAGUGGUAUUGUGGGAAAUGUAAAUGAUCACCUGUGCUGCUGCCAGGUAAUCCCAUAACCAUGUCAAACCUGGAGCCAUUUUUGAACAAUGCCCAUUAAGUAGUUGUGUGACCUGGUCCUCAAGUUUAGGGUCAUUUCAUAUUUACAUAUUUACGUAUUUGUAAAAUAUUGGCACAUGUGCACAUGAAGGUUAUUUGUUGUUAUGCCUAGGGAUUUUUUUCAGCCAGAACUCACAGGAACUCAGUUCCAGCACCUGUUAGGUGGGUUCCACUGCCAUUAGAAGAGAACAAGCAACUUCUUUUUCUAGAAAAAUUGCACUAGUUAUAGCACCUUCAGCUUCCCAAUAACUCACUGAAUGACUUGUUUAAAGCUACUCAGUCUCAUGCUCAACACUGCCAUCUGCAAGAACAGCCUUCCCCACCCUGGUGCCCUCCAGAUGUUUGGGACUACAGUUCCCAUCAGUCCCAGCCAGCAUGUUUUUGUCAAAACAUCCAGGUUAUGGAAGGCUGUGCUCAACACUAGCAGAGGAGAGAGUUAGAGCUGCCAGUAGUCUGCACAUUUCAUUACUGUCAAACGUUACACAUUAGAAGCAAGAGCCAAUUUAGGACUGCUGAAGUGUAGGCUUGUAAUUCUGUAAUCCUUCCUACCUAGGGCUGAGAAAGUCAGUUACUUUGAAAGAAUGACCUUUUUGGCUAGCCAUCAUUAGGAAGCACAAUAGGCUAUUGUUUAUCAAAUAAGGAAAACCAGAAAUUUCCUGGAUUCUGGUUUACAGGAAGCACAGAAACAGCAUGAAUGGAGGCAAGGAAAUUAAAACUGGAGGGACAGAUCAACAGGAAAAGUGAUGUUCCUCUGGAAACACAUCUAUGAUACUCUGUGCUGAUACUUGCAUGAGAAAUUCUAUGUGGAAUAUAUUAUUAUUUAUUAGCUAAAUAAAUUUAUAUAUUGCUUACCUACAGUUGCCUCUAAUGAUUGUAAAGAAUGUGCUUCUUUUAGAGAGAGUGUGUGUGUAAUUUUCAGUGUCCCACAGCUGUCUGUAUGACUGUUCUGAGCAUGGGGGGUCUGUGUUGCAUACUUAUGAUUGCAUUCCUCCUUCCUCCAUCUCCUUGUGCCUUGUUUGGUUUAUAAGCCUCUUGGGGUAAAGAACUGCCAUGCCUCUUCCUUGGAAAGCAUCAUGUACAUAGAGAGAUGCUGCUACAUGGAAUAAUAUAAUUCUAGAGUUGGAAGGGACCCUGAGGGUCAUCAAGUUCAAUCCCCUGCAAUUGCAGGAAUCCUGCCCACAGCCUUCUCUGUGUGGGCUCACACUACCAACGUUCUGGUUAACAGCCAGCCACAGCUGAGCCAGAGUAUAACAGCAGAUGCAUAUUUCAACAAAUAAAUGAUGAAAACGUUCUGAUGAAAUAGCAUCGUGAUCAGGCUCUUAUCCCCCACAUCAUGAUUUAUAUAGACAAUUUAGGACAGUCUGCACUGGUGCUUCACUUUUUGCUUUGGCGCUCUCUUAUCCUUCCCACUCACUGGAACCAGUCUCACGGUAGCCCAACAGAGGGCCAGUGUUGUGUCAUUUGUUGUCUGAGGUUAUGAAACACUUUCAGGUGACAACUUGUUGGGAUAGAUCACUCUGGAUUUUUGCAGUGAAUAAUCAGAGAAGACUCAAACCAUUUUUAUGCUAAACAAAACAACCCACAUGGCACUCUGCCCCAUGGAGGUAAAAGACACAAUAAACCAAAUAGCUUACACCUUUUUACCCUGGCUUUUGACAUGUGAGGUGUAUGUUUUUAGGACCCACCUUAUUUUUAUGAUUGUAGUUUGUUUGAAAAUAUUUUCCCCAUUGGGUUUUAAUGCUGUAACCCGCCCUAGGAUCUUUGGGUAGAGUGGGUAAGAAAUACUGCAAGGCGACAAUGUCUUUAUUACGUAGGUAGAUAGCAUUCUUUGAACUAUGUUUUUAUAGACCUAAAUAAGGUAAGGUAAAAGGUAAAGGACCCCUGGAUGGUGAAGUCCAGUCGAAGGCGACUCUGGGGUUGCGGCGCUCAUCUCGCUUUCAGGCCGAGGGAGCUGGCCUUUGUCCACAAACAGUUUUCUGGGCCAUGUGGCCAGCAUGACACUAAACCACUUCUGGCGCAUGGAGGACCGUGACGAGUGCCAGAGCGCAUGGAAAACGCCUAAAUACCAUACUGUUGACGAGAUAGUCAUAGUUGGUGAUCACUGCAAUUGUCCCCACUUCAUACAGUACUUUUAUACUAUGCUUUUUACUGGACUAGUUAAUGUUAGAAUUAAUAUCACUUUACUUGUUCUGAGGGAUUAACAUGGCUACUGAGAUUGUCCUGGUUUUGUGGAUUAGAUACUCUUGAGCAGUGAGAGGAAGCUACUCACAGAGUGCAACUGGCAAAAACUGACAGGAUGUUUCAUUGAAACUAUUUCAUUGUGUACUGGAACAAAGGGGAAGAAUAGGGGUUUUCUGGUUCACUUUUUAAAGUUACAGUUCCCUGCAAAGAUUUUCAUAUUAAUUUGAAAAAGCAGAAGUACCUAGGACAAGACCUGCCAAGAAAAAUAAAGAACUUAUUUAUGUAUGCUACAACAGCAGCAAGAGUCUUGCUAGCACAAGGAUGGAAGAAUGAGGAAAUCCCAACGAAAGAACAAUAGCAAGAAAAAUUGAUGAACUAUGCGGAAUUGGCUAAAUUGACAUACAAACUGCGUGUUAAGGACAACUGUGACUUCAAGGAAGAAUGGGAACUUUUUACAAAUUAUCUAAAAAGACAACAAAAUGAUCUGGACGUCUUGGCAGGUUUUGAAUAAACAGCCACAAAUUUAUUAGUUGAGCAUAUUAUAGACAAGGCAAGGAUAUGUACAAUUUUAUAACAUGCAGAGAACAAUAUGUGUAAAGAAACCAGAGAGGGGAGCUGAGGGAAGUCCUGGGUGGGGGUGGGGGGAAGGUGAAAAAUAAUGUAACUGGACUGAUAAUUUGGACUGAUAAUUUGUUAUGUUGAAAUUGUUUAAUAAAAAA